AGUGAACGCUGGCGGUAGGCCUAACACAUGCAAGUCGAACGGCAGCACAGUAAGAUCUUGCUCUUACGGGUGGCGAGUGGCGGACGGGUGAGGCAUACAUCGGAAUCUACUUUUUCGUGGGUGAUAACGUAGGGAAACUUACGCUAAUACCGCAUACGACCUACGGGUGAAAGCAGGGGAUCUUCGGGCCUUGCGCGAUUGAAUGAGCCGAUGUCGGAUUAGCUAGUUGGCGGGGUAAAGGCCCACCAAGGCGACGAUCCGUAGCUGGUCUGAGAGGAUGAUCAGCCACACUGGAACUGAGACACGGUCCAGACUCCUACGGGAGGCAGCAGUGGGGAAUAUUGGGCAAUGGGCGCAAGCCUGAUCCAGCCAUACCGCGUGGGUGAAGAAGGCCUUCGGGUUGUAAAGCCCUUUUGUUGGGAAAGAAAAGCAGCAGGUUAAUACCCCGCUGUUCUGACGGUACCCAAAGAAUAAGCACCGGCUAACUUCGUG
Molecule: ribosomal RNA, 492 nt
Filed under: uncultured bacterium
Lineage: Bacteria
Description: partial 16S ribosomal RNA
Rfam family: Bacterial small subunit ribosomal RNA
Source: RNAcentral